This 302-nucleotide ribosomal RNA is filed under the name uncultured bacterium. RNAcentral describes it as "partial 16S ribosomal RNA". It matches the Rfam family "Bacterial small subunit ribosomal RNA", at positions 508 to 807 of the family's 1533-position model. The record is from RNAcentral.
GCAGUCGCCACGGUAAUACGAAGGGUGCAAGCGUUAAUCGGAAUUACUGGGCGUAAAGCGUGCGUAGGCGGUUUGUUAAGUCUGUUGUGAAAUCCCCGGGCUCAACCUGGGAAUGGCAAUGGAUACUGGCAAGCUAGAGUGUGUCAGAGGAUGGUGGAAUUCCCGGUGUAGCGGUGAAAUGCGUAGAGAUCGGGAGGAACAUCAGUGGCGAAGGCGGCCAUCUGGGACAACACUGACGCUGAGGCACGAAAGCGUGGGGAGCAAACAGGAUUAGAUACCCCCGUAGUCCCUGUCUCUUAUAC